Molecule: long non-coding RNA, 517 nt
Organism: Spea bombifrons (plains spadefoot toad)
Lineage: Eukaryota; Metazoa; Chordata; Amphibia; Anura; Pelobatidae
Exons: 2
Source: RefSeq, a predicted model, not a curated record
AGCAAACACAACGUGCCAUUGGAACCCAGGAGUGAUGGGAGUGAUAAAGGGCCAUUGGAACCCAGGAGUGAUGGGAGUGAUAAAGGGCCAUUGGCACACGGGAGUGAUGGGAGUGAUAAAGGGCCAUUGGAACCCAGGAGUGAUGGGAGUGAUUAAAGGGCCAUUGGCACACGGGAGUGAUGGGAGUGAUAAAGGGCCAUUGGAACACAGGAGUGAUGGGAGUGAUAAAGGGCCACUGGAACACAGGAGUGAUGGGAGUGAUAAAGGGCCAUUGGAACCCAGGAGUGAUGGAAGUGAUAAAGGGCCAUUGGAGCACAGGAGUGAUGGGAGUGAUAAAGGGCCAUUGGAGCACAGGAGUGAUGGGAGGCCUCUGUACGUCUAUGAAGAGAAUCCAUUAAAAAUCAGCUGUUUCCAGCUACAAUAGUCAUUUACAACAUUAACCCCGUCUGUGCUGGAUUUCUGAUCCAUUUCUAAGUGACCCCAAACUUUUGAAUGGUGUAAACACAAGUGGACAAAA